GACAUCUAACAGGCUGGGAGUUGUAAUAUUUCCCUUAUGUCAUCUGGAAGUCAUAAAUCAUCCAUAGAUCAAAAUGAUACAAGCCUCAGACUGCAAAUGACUACAGGGACGAAGAGUGAGGGUCCUCAUUGACCCGUGAGGCAUUGCUUGUGUGAAGGUUGACUGAUUCCUGCUUUUGGGAAAUAAAGAAUGACCAAGAAAAAAUAUGAUGAAAUAAGGCAAGAAGUUUAAUGUGGUGUAAAGAAGAAGGAAGAAAGGAACAGCAUAUUGACUGAUCUGCCACACAGGAACAGCUACGAAGGA
This is a long non-coding RNA of Fukomys damarensis (Damara mole-rat), 303 nucleotides long. RefSeq lists it as uncharacterized. The record is from RefSeq and is a predicted model, not a curated record. NCBI's taxonomy places the organism in Eukaryota, Metazoa, Chordata, Mammalia, Rodentia, Bathyergidae. The transcript has 3 exons.